Molecule: ribosomal RNA, 458 nt
Filed under: uncultured bacterium
Lineage: Bacteria
Description: partial 16S ribosomal RNA
Rfam family: Bacterial small subunit ribosomal RNA
Source: RNAcentral
AACGAACGCUGGCGGCAUGCCUAACACAUGCAAGUCGAACGAGACCUUCGGGUCUAGUGGCGCACGGGUGCGUAACGCGUGGGAACCUGCCCUUAGGUUCGGAAUAACUCCCCGAAAGGGGUGCUAAUACCGGAUAAUGUCUUCGGACCAAAGAUUUAUCGCCUUUGGAUGGGCCCGCGUUGGAUUAGCUAGUUGGUAGGGUAAAAGCCUACCAAGGCGACGAUCCAUAGCUGGUCUCAGAGGAUGAUCAGCCACACUGGGACUGAGACGCGGCCCAGACUCCUACGGGAGGCAGCAGUGGGGAAUAUUGGACAAUGGGGGAAAGCCUGAUACAGCCAUACGGCGUGGGUGAAGAAGGCCUUCGGGUGGGAAAGCCCUGUUGUUGGGAAAGAAAAGCAGCAGGUUAACACCCGGCUGUUCUGACGGUACCCAAAGAAUAAGCACCGGCUAACUUCGUG